GAUGAACGCUGGCGGCGUGCCUAAUACAUGCAAGUCGAGCGAACAGAUGAGGAGCUUGCUCCUCUGACGUUAGCGGCGGACGGGUGAGUAACACGUGGAUAACCUACCUAUAAGACUGGGAUAACUUCGGGAAACCGGAGCUAAUACCGGAUAAUAUAUUGAACCGCAUGGUUCAAUAGUGAAAGACGGUUUUGCUGUCACUUAUAGAUGGAUCCGCGCCGCAUUAGCUAGUUGGUAAGGUAACGGCUUACCAAGGCAACGAUGCGUAGCCGACCUGAGAGGGUGAUCGGCCACACUGGAACUGAGACACGGUCCAGUCUCCUACGGGAGGCAGCAGUAGGGAAUCUUCCGCAAUGGGCGAAAGCCUGACGGAGCAACGCCGCGUGAGUGAUGAAGGUCUUCGGAUCGUAAAACUCUGUUAUUAGGGAAGAGCAAAUGUGUAAGUAACUAUGCACGUCUUGACGGUACCUAAUCAGAAAGCCACGGCUAACUACGUG
Molecule: ribosomal RNA, 497 nt
Filed under: uncultured bacterium
Lineage: Bacteria
Description: partial 16S ribosomal RNA
Rfam family: Bacterial small subunit ribosomal RNA
Source: RNAcentral